This 57-nucleotide transfer RNA is filed under the name Daphnia magna. It matches the Rfam family "tRNA", at positions 8 to 63 of the family's 71-position model. From Rfam's summary of the family: Transfer RNA (tRNA) molecules are approximately 80 nucleotides in length. Their secondary structure includes four short double-helical elements and three loops (D, anti-codon, and T loops). Lineage: Eukaryota; Metazoa; Arthropoda; Branchiopoda; Diplostraca; Daphniidae. The record is from Rfam by way of RNAcentral.
UAGCUCAAUGGUAGAGCAUUGGAUAUCUAAGCUAAAGGUCUUGGGUUCGAUUCCCAU